CCCUACGGGGCGCAGCAGUGGGGAAUAUUGCACAAUGGGGGAAACCCUGAUGCAGCGACGCCGCGUGAGUGAAGAAGUAUUUCGGUAUGUAAAGCUCUAUCAGCAGGGAAGAAAAAAGACGGUACCUGCAGAAGAAGCCACGGCUAACUACGUGCCAGCAGCCGCGGUAAUACGUAGGUGGCAAGCGUUAUCCGGAAUUACUGGGUGUAAAGGGUGUGUAGGCGGGUUUGCAAGU
RNAcentral lists this ribosomal RNA (235 nucleotides) under uncultured bacterium. RNAcentral's name for it is "partial 16S ribosomal RNA". It matches the Rfam family "Bacterial small subunit ribosomal RNA", at positions 337 to 588 of the family's 1533-position model. The record is from RNAcentral.